GAUGAACGCUGGCGGCGUGCCUAAUACAUGCAAGUCGAGCGAACGGACGAGAAGCUUGCUUCUCUGAUGUUAGCGGCGGACGGGUGAGUAACACGUGGAUAACCUACCUAUAAGACUGGGAUAACUUCGGGAAACCGGAGCUAAUACCGGAUAAUAUUUUGAACCGCAUGGUUCAACAGUGAAAGACGGUCUUGCUGUCACUUAUAGAUGGAUCCGCGCUGCAUUAGCUAGUUGGUAAGGUAACGGCUUACCAAGGCAACGAUGCAUAGCCGACCUGAGAGGGUGAUCGGCCACACUGGAACUGAGACACGGUCCAGACUCCUACGGGAGGCAGCAGUAGGGAAUCUUACGCAAUGGGCGAAAGCCUGACGGAGCAACGCCACGUGAGUGAUGAAGGUCUUCGGAUCGUAAAACUCUGUUAUUAGGGAAGAACAUAUGUGUAAGUAACUGUGCACAUCUUGACGGUACCUAAUCAGAAAGCAACGGCUAACUACGUG
This 497-nucleotide ribosomal RNA is filed under the name uncultured bacterium. RNAcentral describes it as "partial 16S ribosomal RNA". It matches the Rfam family "Bacterial small subunit ribosomal RNA", at positions 28 to 507 of the family's 1533-position model. The record is from RNAcentral.